UGGCGCUAAUUUGCACACUACACUGAUUCCUUACCGCUCUUUGGAAAAACACAGAAGAAGAAAAGUUUGAACAACGCAGCAAGGCGGGAAGCAGCAGACAGUAGGGUUGCAGAAACUACCUACGCAGCAGCAAUCAGGCUCACUGGACUUACUUUUCAGAUCAGUUUAUGCCUUUGCAUCUUGCUGUUCCAGUUUCAAGAAGUUAAGGAAGAUAACUGGAGAUGUGAUAACGAUACCAGAAGACUGAGAAGAAACGGC
Perca fluviatilis (European perch) is the source of this 258-nucleotide long non-coding RNA. RefSeq lists it as uncharacterized. The transcript is spliced from 3 exons. NCBI's taxonomy places the organism in Eukaryota, Metazoa, Chordata, Actinopteri, Perciformes, Percidae. The record is from RefSeq and is a predicted model, not a curated record.